Molecule: long non-coding RNA, 985 nt
Organism: Lactuca sativa (garden lettuce)
Lineage: Eukaryota; Viridiplantae; Streptophyta; Magnoliopsida; Asterales; Asteraceae
Source: RefSeq, a predicted model, not a curated record
AGAGUCUUUCUCUCCUUAUCCCCCGAGCAUUUCGGUCCCUCGUGAUUCGACUUCUCUUUCUGUAGUUUUAGUAUAGUAAGGUGAGCGCUGAAGCGCUGCACGAAUCUUUCUUAGAAAGAUUCAGCGACGAAGUUCUACCCCUGCAGAGCCCGACUCCUAGCUAAAAUCCCCUUGAAAGUUUCGUCAAAGGAAAUUAUUUUAAAGUAAACGAAGCGCUGUCCGAGUACCGAGUCACCACCUUCUCAGGUGUUGAUAUGAAGUCACAAUACACUGAGAGAUUUAAAGAGAUGUAGAUCACUAGUGUAAAUAAUUGGAACUAGUAGACAAGUACUCGCACCGGGAAUUCAGAAGAUGGAGCAGUAUAACUUCAAGUCUUAUUUUGUUAUUUGCUUAUGUAUUCUAUGUUUUGUGAACACACACUUCGUAAACACUUUCUUUCUAAUGAAAUGGUUGUUCAUUACUUUGAUUACUAUGAUGCAUGUCUUGCAAUACUAAACAUGACGUCCUCCACCCUCGAACGUUUCCGCCGUUCCGGUUUUGGGGUGUGACAUAACAUAAUCUAGUGGGCCGACUUUGGUGCCUUCGAUCCACGCGUACAGUACGGAAGACUCACCUCAAAGUCUAAAAGGUAGACGAACUGAUCACUGCUCUAAAUGCCGACUCUACAUAUCACAUAUACGACAAACAUGGACUAAGCCUCAAUCUAUUAAUAAAAAAUACCCCAAAUGACCUAAGGUCAAACUUUCUCAGAGUCAACGGUUAACGGUAAGAAGUUAAAGGUCAACCUUUAGUUGGUCGCCACGUUGUGGCCAUCCUUGGCCACGUCGUGGCAGAAAAACUUAAAGUGUAAAAAUAUGGUAAUGUAAUCGGUGAGAGGCCACAUCGAUGGAUGUAAUGGGUUUUAUUUGGCAAAAAUAGUAAAUAAAUUGAGUUUGUAUAACUUAAAGUGUAAUAUGGCCAAUUUAGAAUUGUGUAAUUCCGUUUA